RNAcentral lists this long non-coding RNA (549 nucleotides) under Rattus norvegicus (Norway rat). RNAcentral's name for it is "long non-coding RNA NONRATT015158". Lineage: Eukaryota; Metazoa; Chordata; Mammalia; Rodentia; Muridae. The record is from RNAcentral.
CAUCAUGCAGCCGGCACAGGAGAGCAGAGACAGCACGCUCACACCACCCUGUCCUCCCCGCCCAGAGGGACAGUCACCCUGAGGCCAUGGAGAACCCCCAGUGUCUUCUGGAGCACCCGGUGAGAGCUUGCCUCAAAAUCAGUCAGUGAGAGUGGCGACCACCCAGUGGAUUCAGACAUCAAAGACCUGGGAGCCAGCUGGCUGGAGCUGGGCUGGGCUGGGACUGUUCCUCAGCCCUCAGGUAGAGCGGUAGAGCGCUUGCCGACCACGCAUGAAGCACCCCUUCAGUUCCCAGCUCCUCAAUUCCGGAGAAAGUGAAGGAUAGAGGCAACAAGAUAGGACAUUUAGAAGAUCCGCCAUGAUUCUGUAAGGGCCAGCACAUUCCCCCUGGCUACAGGGACGGCUCAGCAGGUAACACUCAGAGCGCUGGAAAGGACCUGUUGUCUGGGAUCCAAUGCCUUCUGCUGACUUCUGGGAAUGAGCGCAGGAAUGUGGCAAACAUACAUCCACGCAGUCAAAACAAGUAAAAUAAACAAAUUGUCGUUCGUG